Capsicum annuum is the source of this 2452-nucleotide long non-coding RNA. RefSeq lists it as uncharacterized. Lineage: Eukaryota; Viridiplantae; Streptophyta; Magnoliopsida; Solanales; Solanaceae. The transcript is spliced from 2 exons. The record is from RefSeq and is a predicted model, not a curated record.
UGUAUCGGAUUGUAUUAAAGUAUUAGCUGCAAAAGGUUAAUUGUCCCUAGGAUUAUAGGUUGUACUAUUUGUAGAAGUACUAGGAUAGUUGGUUUCACUAUUUGAACUAGAAAUAGGCAAUAGAGUAGGGGGAUUUGAAGUAAUUGAAGCCUUCUCUAAGGUACUGUUAGUAUUAAAAUCUUUUAUUAAAGGAUUGAUGGAUUGAGUGGUUGGUGUAGGUUGUGGAGACGAGCACAUGGUAAAAUGGGUAUUUUGUUUUACUUUUAACGUGGAAGCAUUGAACUUCACAUCCUGGAAAUUUCUUUUGGUCGACGUGGCCAUUGUGAUAACCGUAUCCCUUUGUUGGGGUGUGUUAGUACACGUAGGAGGUGUGGGAUUCUUACUUUUUUUCUCUCUGAUUUUUAGAGAUAGAAAGAUUAUGAAAUCUAUUACAAUAACAAUAUAUUCAGUAUAUUCUCACAUAAUGAGGUUUGGAAAGGAUAAAACGUAUGCAGUUCAUACCACUACCGCGAUGGAGUAUUAGGCGGAGAAGUACUAGGUGCAUCAAGAUGAAAGCAUGAAUAAUCUAAAUGAGCAGUUCCCCCGAGGAAGACACCUCCUCCUGAGUUAUAGCAUAUUUCUUAACAGCUGGAGUGGUGUCCUUGUGUUCUUCUUUAUCUUUAGAAACAUGGGUCAGUUUAAACCUACAAUUGCCCUCAUCUAUGCAGCUUUCCCUGUCCUCAUGAUUCGCUUCAUCAAAUAUGACAUAAAUAAAUUUCUUCUACCAACUAGUUCUCUUAUUGUAGAUUUUAUGAGCCUUACACUGUGAAGAAUAUCUCAGAAGAUACCUUUAUCAAUUUUUGCAUCAAAUUUUCCUAAUAUGUCCUUUCCAUUAUUGUAAAUAAAAUAUUUACACCCAAAAGGUCUUAGAUAGGUUAGAUUUGGCUUUCUACCCUUGAGUAGUUCAUAAGGGGUUUUGUCUAGCAGUGAUCUAAUCAUACACCUGUUAAGAAGAUAAUAUGCAAUGUUUACUGCUUCAGCUUAAACAUUUUAAGGAAGACCACUUGUUAUGAGCAUUGUUCUAGCCAUAUCCUCUAGAGAAUUAUUCUUUCUUUCAACCAUACCAUUUUCACGAGGAGUUCUAAGUGCAGAGAAGUUGUCAUCAAUACUAUUUUCAACACAAAAGGUCAAGAAGUUUGAAUUUUUAAAUUCAAUACCAUGAUCAGACCUUAUUCCUAUAACUUUAGCAUUCAACUUCUUUUGAACAAUUUUAACUAAUAUUUGGAAUACCUCAAGUGUCUUAUCCUUAAAACUCAAGAAGAGUGUCCAUGUGAAUCUUGAAUAAUCACCUACAAUCACAAAUACAUGCCUCUUCGCUCCUCUACUGAGAAUUCUCAUUGGACCACACAAGUCCAUAUACAAUAAUUGAAGAGGUUUAGUGGUGCUUACCAUUCUUUUAGGCUUGAACGAGGAUCUAACAUAUUUUAUCUUUGCACAAACAUCACACACAAGAGAUUUAUUCAGUUUGUUUUAUGAUAAUCCUAACACCAAAUCAAUUGCCACUAGUUUGUUGAUUGUUGAGUAGCUAGCAUGUCCUAACAUUUUGUGUCAUAAUAAUGAGCUAAUUUUCAUAACACUAAAGCAUGUCAGUGUAAAUUUUGUAGUAUCCAUAAUAUCUACUUUGUACAUAUUUUUAUGCUUUCUCCCUUGAGUACAAUAAUCCCACUAACAGAGUUUGUCACAAUACAGUCCGUAGGAAUAAACUUCAUAUUGUUUCCCUUAUCGCACAUUUGAGAUAUGCUUAGAAGAUUGUAUUUUAGUUCAAAUACAUAGUGAAAAUUAUAAAUAAAACGUGACAUUGUUCUUCCAACCUUUCCUACACCAAUAACUUCUCAAAUUUUACUAUUUUCAAAAAGCAUUACUUCCACCUUAAUAGUCUAUAAGAGAGAGAAAGUAUUCUUUAUUUUCAGUCAUAUGUCUAGAGCAAGCAUUGUCAAGGUACCAAUGCUUGUUUUUUCCUUCCUUCUUAUCCUACAAAUAUAAUUUAGAGGUUAGUUUUGGGCACCCAGAUUAACUUGUGCCUUUUUUUGUGAGAAAAAGGAUGGAUCAAAUCUCUUUCAGCCCAAUGAGGAAGUUCUCUCUUAAUGGACAACAUUUUCUUUAGUUUCUGAGUCUUGUAUCUAUUUAUGAACUUGAAAUUUCUUUUUCACCUUUAUGUGAAGGAUAUUAAUUUUUGAGGUGUCCUUCUUUCCCAUAAAUAAACUAUAUUUAUAGACAAAUUUGCUUUGUAAUGCUCAGGUCUGAAUCCUAGCCCAUGUUUAGAGAUGGAAUAACUACUUUGAAUAUGAGGGGGAAGGGUAUAGGACUUCAUCCACUUGAUUAUGUUCUAGAUCAAGUUUAUCCUUGUUCAAAUCUUUUAGCAAUAAUGUAUUUUUCUCAGAUAAUUCAUCAAGGCUAAUAUUUAGUUUCUUUA